UAGGGAAUCUUCCACAAUGGACGAAAGUCUGAUGGAGCAACGCCGCGUGAGUGAUGAAGGGUUUCGGCUCGUAAAACUCUGUUGUUGGAGAAGAACGGGUGUCAGAGUAACUGUUGACAUCGUGACGGUAUCCAACCAGAAAGCCACGGCUAACUACGUGCCAGCAGCCGCGGUAAUACGUAGGUGGCAAGCGUUGUCCGGAUUUAUUGGGCGUAAAGCGAGCGCAGGCGGUUUUUUAGGUCUGAUGUGAAAGCCUUCGGCUUAACCGGAGAAGUGCAUCGGAAACCGGGAGACUUGAGUGCAGAAGAGGACAAUGGAACUCCAUGUGUAGCGGUGAAAUGCGUAGAUAUAUGGAAGAACACCAGUGGCGAAGGCGGCUGUCUGGUCUGCAACUGACGCUGAGGCUCGAAAGCAUGGGUAGCGAACAGGAUUAGAUACCCUUGGUA
RNAcentral lists this ribosomal RNA (446 nucleotides) under uncultured bacterium. RNAcentral describes it as "partial 16S ribosomal RNA". It matches the Rfam family "Bacterial small subunit ribosomal RNA", at positions 355 to 792 of the family's 1533-position model. The record is from RNAcentral.